RNAcentral lists this unclassified non-coding RNA (367 nucleotides) under soil metagenome. Its description in RNAcentral is "partial contains 5.8S ribosomal RNA, internal transcribed spacer 2, and large subunit ribosomal RNA". The stretch from base 1 to 120 matches the Rfam family "5.8S ribosomal RNA", at positions 35 to 154 of the family's 154-position model. The record is from RNAcentral.
GAUGAAGAACGCAGCGAAAUGCGAUAAGUAAUGUGAAUUGCAGAAUUCAGUGAACCAUCGAAUCUUUGAACGCACAUUGCGCCCGGCAGUAAUCUGCCGGGCAUGCCUGUCCGAGCGUCAUUUCUGCCCUCGAGCGAGUCCAGCAUCUAGGUGCUGGGCCCGCCCGGCGUUGGGGCACUACGGGAAGCCCUGUGCUGUCCCCCGUAGGCCCCGAAAUGAAGUGGCGGUCCUGCCGCGGCGCCCCCUGCGUAGUAUAACAGCUCGCUUCGGGACCCGGUGGAGGCCUGCCGUCAAACCUUACUCUCUAAGUUUGACCUCGGAUCAGGUAGGGUUACCCGCUGAACUAAGCAUAUCAAUAAGCGGAGGA